GAUGAACGCUAGCGGCAGGCCUAAUACAUGCAAGUCGGACGGGAUUUGGGAGCUUGCUCCUAAUGAGAGUGGCGCACGGGUGCGUAACACGUAUGUAACCUACCUUAAUCAGGGGGAUAGCCUCUCGAAAGAGAGAUUAACACCGCAUAAUAUAUUUUUAUGGCAUCGUAGAAAUAUCAAAUAUUUAUAGGAUUAAGAUGGGCAUGCGGAACAUUAGCUAGUUGGUAAGGUAACGGCUUACCAAGGCUACGAUGUUUAGGGGAUCUGAGAGGAUGACCCCCCACCCUGGUACUGGGACACGGACCAGACUCCUACGGGAGGCAGCAGUAAGGAAUAUUGGUCAAUGAGCGCAAGCCUGAACCAGCCAUGCCGCGUGCAGGAAGACGGCCCUAUGGGUUGUAAACUGCUUUUGUACCGGAAUAAACCCUUUUACGUGUAAGAGGCUGAAUGUACGGUAAGAAUAAGGAUCGGCUAACUCCGUGCCAGCCGCCGCAGUAA
RNAcentral lists this ribosomal RNA (498 nucleotides) under uncultured bacterium. Its description in RNAcentral is "partial 16S ribosomal RNA". It matches the Rfam family "Bacterial small subunit ribosomal RNA", at positions 28 to 523 of the family's 1533-position model. The record is from RNAcentral.